GGGAUACAGCAUUUGUGUAAUAUCAUUAACAAAAUCUAAAUGGACCAUUUAUGAAAUUGAAGGAAAUUACGAUCCAUAUUCACACCUGAAAUAUCAUGUGCUUUGUGAGGUAGUAGAUCAAAAGCAAACUUACCUACCAAAAGCAGAGACUAAGUUGGGUGACCAGAAGUUGGGAAGUGGCUUCACCUUUUGUGUAGUAGAUCAAAAGCAAACUUAACUACCAAAAGCAGAGACUAAGUUUGGUGACCAGAAGUUGGGAAGUGGCUUCACCUUUUGUAUGUCAGGAGACAAGUCUGAUGCAAGCUCUCUAAGCCGGCUCUCCACAGCCUCUACAGUGAGGCAACCAUCAAUGACAUG
Molecule: long non-coding RNA, 357 nt
Filed under: Elaeis guineensis (African oil palm)
Lineage: Eukaryota; Viridiplantae; Streptophyta; Magnoliopsida; Arecales; Arecaceae
Description: long non-coding RNA (EGUI_LNC020655)
Source: RNAcentral